Molecule: ribosomal RNA, 253 nt
Filed under: uncultured bacterium
Lineage: Bacteria
Description: partial 16S ribosomal RNA
Rfam family: Bacterial small subunit ribosomal RNA
Source: RNAcentral
GACGGAAGGUGCAAGCGUUGCUCGGAAUCACUGGGCGUAAAGGGCUCGUAGGUGGCCAACUAAGUCAGACGUGAAAUCCCUCAGCUUAACUGGGGAACUGCGUCUGAUACUGGAUGGCUUGAGUUUGGGAGAGGGAUGCGGAAUUCCAGGUGUAGCGGUGAAAUGCGUAGAUAUCUGGAGGAACACCGGUGGCGAAGGCGGCAUCCUGGACCAACACUGACACUGAUGAGCGAAAGCCAGGGGAGCAAACGGG